This 525-nucleotide ribosomal RNA is filed under the name Austrheithrus ronewa. RNAcentral describes it as "partial 18S small subunit ribosomal RNA". It matches the Rfam family "Eukaryotic small subunit ribosomal RNA", at positions 622 to 1119 of the family's 1831-position model. The record is from RNAcentral. Lineage: Eukaryota; Metazoa; Arthropoda; Insecta; Trichoptera; Philorheithridae.
GUAAAAAGCUUGUAGUUGAAAUUGUNUCCUGCGGUGUCGGUCYACCGUAAGCGGUACGACAGGCACGUCUGCGGGGCUUCUCGCCGGUGCGUCCCCUGCCUGCGUGCGUCGGUCGAUCUAAACGGUCGGCCGCGCAUUGCGGCGGGCCGUCGCGGCUGUUUACUUUGAACAAAUUAGAGUGCUCAAAGCGGGCUAACACUCGCCUGAAUAUUGUACGCAUGGAAUAAUAGAAUAGGACCUCGGUUCAAUUUUGUUGGCUUUNNNNNNNNNNNNNNNGUAAUGAUUAANNNGGACAACUGGGGGCAUUCGUAUUGCGACGUUAGAGGUGAAAUUCUUGGAUCGUCGCAAGACGGACUAAAGCGAAAGCAUUUGCCAAAGGUGUUUUCAUUAAUCAAGAACGAAAGUUAGAGGUUCGAAGGCGAUUAGAUACCGCUGUAGUUCUAACCAUAAAUGAUGCCAGCCAGCGAUCCGCCGAAGUUUCAUAUUUUUAACCCGGUGGGCAGCUCCCGGGAAACCAAAGCUUUC